AUCCUCCCGACUGCAAAACCAAAAUUCCUCAUGAAUUUAAUGCUGAAUGCCUUCCAGCCCAAACUGAAGACGACGAUGUUGAAGGGUUAUAUAGCACUGGCGAUCCCCUCAUGGACCGGGUCUUUGAUGAACUGGGUGCUCAUUGCAUAGCAGCUCUGGAGGACGAGCAGCCUGAAUGUGGAGGUAGUACCAGUACGCAGUUUCCUAAUAUCUCAGUACCAGAGACCCGUAGUACCCUUAUACCACAGUCUCUUUUCUGCAAGAUCCACUCGCCUAUUCCCAAAGUGAGAAUACCGACUACCGAGAUGAACGAUCUCAACACUGUUCAGGAGGGUACAAGUCUGGUCAGAGAGUGUCUCAAGCAAAGUCUGCCCAGCCACGAAGCAGAAAUAGACUCCCCUGAGUCUGCCACCAGAGAUACUAAUUCCUCCCUCACAGUGACAAUUGAGGAG
Non-coding RNA from Pelobates cultripes (western spadefoot toad), 452 nucleotides. NCBI's taxonomy places the organism in Eukaryota, Metazoa, Chordata, Amphibia, Anura, Pelobatidae. The record is from the annotation of a GenBank genome assembly.